RNAcentral lists this long non-coding RNA (588 nucleotides) under Phoenix dactylifera (date palm). RNAcentral describes it as "long non-coding RNA (PDAC_LNC020976)". The record is from RNAcentral. Lineage: Eukaryota; Viridiplantae; Streptophyta; Magnoliopsida; Arecales; Arecaceae.
CAUUGUAUGUUUCUUUUAUAUAUAACUGAAAUAUGAAAUAGAGAACAAGCUGAACUGUCGACCUGGCUAUGUUGAGGACCCUGCCAAUGGGGGCAGAUACGUUGGCAGUUGACUGUCCUGAAGGACUCACCGCAAGAAGAUUAGUCGGUGUUGAUGACCCUGCCACAGGGAACAUGUGGUCAUAGUCCAGGAUUGACAUGAUAAAAUGAAUAUGUAAAAGAAUCUUUUGAAUUUAAGAAAUAUUUGACUUAUACUUUGGAACUGCAUAUUUAUUUAUUUUCCACAUAUUAUUGCUUGAUUUAUCUAGCUAGGGUGUUCAUUACUUACUGGGCUGUCUAGCUCAUUAUACCCUCUCUUGUUGUUUUACAGAUUUCGAGAACUAGUCUAUUGGGGAUUCAAAUUGGAAGAGCGAUUAGAAGGAUUGUGGCACAAGUUACCUUAGAUUAGGGUUAUUUAAGUUGAUUUGUUAUUAUGGACAUUUAUUAUGAUUGGUGGACUUUUAUAUUUUAAGAACUAGGUUUCUGCAUGUUGGUAAAUGAUUAUUCCGCUGCAUAUUUAGACUUGUGAGACAUUAUGGCUUGAGUUAGU